UCUAUUUUGGCAGAUUAAUUGUAUCAAAUUUAGAAUUUGAAAAUGACAUGUGUUGUCAAAUAGAA
RNAcentral lists this transfer RNA (65 nucleotides) under Antricola mexicanus. Its description in RNAcentral is "tRNA-Leu". The record is from RNAcentral. Lineage: Eukaryota; Metazoa; Arthropoda; Arachnida; Ixodida; Argasidae.